This 74-nucleotide transfer RNA is filed under the name Diaphorina citri (Asian citrus psyllid). It matches the Rfam family "tRNA". From Rfam's summary of the family: Transfer RNA (tRNA) molecules are approximately 80 nucleotides in length. Their secondary structure includes four short double-helical elements and three loops (D, anti-codon, and T loops). Lineage: Eukaryota; Metazoa; Arthropoda; Insecta; Hemiptera; Psyllidae. The record is from Rfam by way of RNAcentral.
GCUCCCAUGGCGUAGUGGUCACUGCGCUCGCCUUGCACGCGGGAGACCCGGAGGUUCGAUUCCCGGCGGGGUCA